This 1105-nucleotide long non-coding RNA is filed under the name Strigops habroptila (Kakapo). Its description in RNAcentral is "lncRNA (ENSSHBG00005020160.1)". The record is from RNAcentral. Lineage: Eukaryota; Metazoa; Chordata; Aves; Psittaciformes; Psittacidae.
AAACAGAUUGGAGGUCUGAUUUUCUUUUGCUCUUGUCCAGUCUAUAGUUCAAAGACUUACUCUGAAGUUUGUUUCGUCUUCCCUACAGUGAAUUUAAUAACAUAGGAAUAAAAAUGAAAUCUGCAAAUCCAAAUCAAAGCACAACACCUGCAUCUCCAUGUAUCACUUUCUGAAGAAAUAGGGAAAGUGAUACGCUAUCUGCUCAUUUGCAGGGCUUCUGUGCUCUCGAAGAGCAAAGGCUAUGCAUCAAAACCUGCAAACACUUCCACUCCUAAAUUAAAGUAGAAUUGAUGACUUAAAACCGAAAGGAACUUCAGCAGAUUAGCAAAUAAGAUGUCAACGAGAGACUAAACGGUAAAGGCUUGGCUCCUGAUGUAGCUGAAGUAGUUGGGGUAGUUUCAUUAAAUUCAGUGGGGCUAAGGGGACUAAUGCUGGCCAAGGAUCUGGCUCCUAGCUUUUUCCCAGCUGCAAGUCUUAGUUUAGGCUGUUGCCAAGAGGUUAACACUGUGAUAAUAGAAUGAGAAAGUAUUUAUAUAAUUAUAUAUCUCUAUAUACCUGUAUUUAAAGAACACUUUGCUACUUAGGACUUCUGUCAUUUUAAAAUCCGUAAUUUUAAAACAAAAUUAUUUCAGAAGAGCAGCAGAACCUCUUGAGUAAACUACAGACUCUCUCACCCACUCCUAGGCCACUUACUGUCCUAGAAGCAAGUGUAAAAGUUAUUUCUAAAUGCUAUUUCUUAAAACACAGGGUGCAACUAAAUAAGUAAGGCUCCCAAGGGUCUCUAAGAAGCCUGUGAGUCAAUACAUAGGCAUGGAGUAACAGCAAAUCAACAAUUCUAAAAAAGGUGCUUCAUAAGUUAAGGAAAAUAAAAAUACAAAGCCUCAGACUUACCACAAAAGGCCCUCAGACUUAUGAAACUAAACUGCUGUAAUGUGGUACAGUGUUAAGACAUAUAUUUUGUUUUUAUUUUUUUUUUCUUUAAAUUUACAUUCUAGAGGGGCAAUACACACUGAACCCAGGAAAACAGCUCACCCUAAAAAGUAAUUUUGAAAGGAACAUUGACUUUCAUUCAUGCUCCUAAAUCCCUAAUAGUUUUGCUUUAAAA